Long non-coding RNA from Lethenteron reissneri (Far Eastern brook lamprey), 618 nucleotides. RefSeq lists it as uncharacterized. The record is from RefSeq and is a predicted model, not a curated record. NCBI's taxonomy places the organism in Eukaryota, Metazoa, Chordata, Hyperoartia, Petromyzontiformes, Petromyzontidae.
UGGCCUGGCCCGGGCCCUCCAGCAAGGCCACUGGGCACAUUUUUUUUAUUUUUGUUUAAAUUUUAUUUUAGUUAAAAGUCAUCAAUUACGAUGCUAAGUGCAGCGCCCGCGUGACUUGUCACAUCGGCAAGUUGAUGUUUGUGACUGUGCUGAAGUUACGCGGGGGGGGGGAGGGGUUCAUACACCGCGACUCCUCGCCACUCCACCGCUGGACGGUGAAGGCCGCAGGCCGCCCACGGGACACGUGGCGGGGGCCUCCCACGUGACACCGCCAUCCCUGGCGGGCCCGUUUCGUGGCACACCAUCCGUCUCGUGCUGUCUGCGCUGGAGGUGACCACCACCUCGUUGUCGUCGUCGUCAUCGUUGCGUUGUCUCCGUGGUGGUCAAACUCUCAGGUCUGUCAUCGUCGUCAUUGUCAUCGUCAUUGUCAUCGUCGUCGUCGUCAUUACUGGAGUCAAGUCUCAAGAUACUACUGUCAUUGGUGAGUGUAGAACACCAUAAUACGUAUCGUAUGAGAGAGAGAGAGAGUGAAUGUAUAAUAUUAAGGUUUUAUAAGUAAAUAGAUUUAAGUAAAAUAUAUAUAUAAAGUAUAAAUAUACAUAUUUUAAACAUUCUGGU